CGGGGGACAACAUUUGGAAACAGAUGCUAAUACCGCAUAACAGCGUUGUUCGCAUGAACAACGCUUACCAGAUGGCUUCUCGCUAUCACUUCUGGAUGGACCUGCGGUGCAUUAGCUUGUUGGUGGGGUAACGGCCUACCAAGGCGAUGAUGCAUAGCCGAGUUGAGAGACUGAUCGGCCACAAUGGGACUGAGACACGGCCCAUACUCCUACGGGAGGCAGCAGUAGGGAAUCUUCCACAAUGGGCGCAAGCCUGAUGGAGCAACACCGCGUGAGUGAAGAAGGGUUUCGGCUCGUAAAACUCUGUUGUUAAAGAAGAGCACGUAUGAGAGUAACUGUUCAUACGUUGACGGUAUUUAACCAGAAAGUCACGGCUAACUACGUGCCAGCAGCCGCGGUAAUACGUAGGUGGCAAGCGUUAUCCGGAUUUAUUGGGCGUAAAGAGAGUGCAGGCGGUUUUCUAAGUCUGAUGUGAAAGCCUUCGGCUUAACCGGAGAAGUGCAUCGGAAACUGGAUAACUUGAGUGCAGAAGAGGGUAGUGGAACUCCAUGUGUAGCGGUGGAAUGCGUAGAUAUAUGGAAGAACACCAGUGGCGAAGGCGGCUACCUGGUCUGCAACUGACGCUGAGACUCGAAAGCAUGGGUAGCGAAC
RNAcentral lists this ribosomal RNA (651 nucleotides) under uncultured bacterium. Its description in RNAcentral is "bacterial SSU rRNA". It matches the Rfam family "Bacterial small subunit ribosomal RNA", at positions 137 to 773 of the family's 1533-position model. The record is from RNAcentral.